Long non-coding RNA from Leptinotarsa decemlineata (Colorado potato beetle), 495 nucleotides. NCBI's taxonomy places the organism in Eukaryota, Metazoa, Arthropoda, Insecta, Coleoptera, Chrysomelidae. The record is from RefSeq and is a predicted model, not a curated record.
AACGAUUUCUAAAGCCAAUUGUAUGGACACAUGCCCAUUCACCCCAGAUUAUUUUCUCGCUGGUUAUGAAAACGGAAAUAUACAUCUCUAUUCAAGAAUGAUAGAAACUCCUAUUAUGGUUCUCUCAGACAAAGAAAGCAGAAUUCAUGAAUGCAGUAUUGAACUCCUACAGUGGUCCAAAAAUAAACCUUUUUUGAUAUACACCAAAGACAAACGAAAUACAAUACACAUUUGGGAUUUGAGCGAGAGUGACAUGGUACCAAUAUAUUCUAUUCCAAUCGGAAAGGAAAUAACUUGCAUGACAUUGUCUCCUUCAACGAAACGUAGUGAAAUUGAGAAAUCUUACAUGAUGAUUGGCACGAAAGACGGAUCAUUAUUUUUACAUCGACUGAAUGACGAACAUGGUCAGCAACCCAAACAAAUAUUUGAAGAACACGUCAGGACGUUUUUGAAUUAUGUUAACAGAUUAUAAUAUAAAUGUUUGUCUAAUCUUAA